UGGUCAAUCGUUCGCUUACCGCGUGUGUUCACAAAGUGCCGGUCCGGACCCCAACCUCCCCUAUUUAUUUUCUCGUUUCACUCCCACUCGUUCCGGUUAACGGUGCAUCUCUUCGUGGGCCCUGUGCACUCUCUCUCACCGUUGCUCCCGCUCUCCUAACGGUUGUUGCCCUCAUCGUGCCGGUCUGUGUUUUGUUGCCUCGCAUACAUCGAUUCUUUUGGUUUAAACUAAUUUGUUAUUAUUGUGCUGGGUUUUGUGGUUUGAACCAAUCCUUCCCCCUACAUACUUCUUAAAUGCUUAUUUUAUUGUGAAUUCUAUUCGGUUAUACUAGCACUACUGACGACCCGCGGUUACUUGUUCGUAAGUGCGCCCAGGAGUGGAUUUCCGGACCGGUGCCCCUCCGCUGGCCUUCAUAGACUGGUGAGUGUGUCCUUUGAAUGUGUGACAGUGUGUUUUAACCCUCCCUUUUCCUGCUUGUUUUGCCGCUUACUGCCGUUGUGAAGUUUAUCUGUGAAUCCUUGUAUGUACGCGUGCCAGGAAGUGGACCUGCGGAUCGACGCUUCUCCUCAUGGACAGAUGAGUGUGUUUUGGACGUGCGAGUGAAUGCUUUACACCCUCUUUUCCGGCCUGUUUUGCUGUCCCUUUGCUGCUGUUCGGUUCCCCCCGGCCUGGUAAGUUUUGAGUAUAGUGGACGCCUCCUCACUAAUACUUUAUCUUCCAGAUCGCCUC
RNAcentral lists this long non-coding RNA (729 nucleotides) under Drosophila guanche. The record is from RNAcentral. Lineage: Eukaryota; Metazoa; Arthropoda; Insecta; Diptera; Drosophilidae.